RNAcentral lists this ribosomal RNA (250 nucleotides) under uncultured prokaryote. Its description in RNAcentral is "partial 16S ribosomal RNA". It matches the Rfam family "Bacterial small subunit ribosomal RNA", at positions 524 to 773 of the family's 1533-position model. The record is from RNAcentral.
UACGUAGGGGGCGAGCGUUAUCCGGAUUUAUUGGGUGUAAAGGGUGCGUAGACGGAUGAGCAAGUUAGUUGUGAAAUCCCUCGGCUUAACUGAGGAACUGCAACUAAAACUGUUUACCUUGAGUGCGGGAGAGGAAAGCGGAAUUCCUAGUGUAGCGGUGAAAUGCGUAAAUAUUAGGAGGAACACCAGUGGCGAAGGCGGCUUUCUGGACCGUAACUGACGUUGAGGCACGAAAGUGUGGGGAGCAAAC